CUCCCGUCGGGCAGCUCUAUAUAAGCGGGAGGCGCGGGCCUAUAGGCCCCUUUUUCUCGGCUAGCUGCAGAGCAGCGCGAAAAUAUAUAAAGAGAGUGUGGCAUGAAAGGAGGCUUGAUCCUAAAAAUGAGACACAGGGGGGGCAAAUGUGAAUACUGCAAACGCAGGAGGUUUUCUCCUAGAGCUGAGAAGAAUCAAAAGAUCCCAUGGUCCAAGAAGUCUGCAUCCUAGAUGUGAGUUGCUCUUGAGGAGGACAGCACUAAUUUCCUUUGAAAUGGUAUAACAUAAAUGCUGUUGAAGAGCCACAAUCAGAGGUGUCAAACCAGACGUGCUUGAGGAGCAGUAUGAUGUACCUUCCUGGGCUACGGAAGUAUUGCAAUGUCUAGCACUAUAUGAGGACGGCAUUUAUUUGAAGUUCUAAUUCUAAUAUGCUGGGGCACUUUGUUUGCAGAUGACACCUGUAGGUUUGUGUUUUCUAACAAACCUGGCAGCAGCAAAAGAAACCAUUUGGGGUCUUUGCACUUGAAGUUUGCUAGAUAUAUCUUCAGCCUCUGCCAUGCACUGCCUCAAAGUCACUGCAAGCACUACAGACAGUGAAUGUGAAUAUAAUAUGCGGUGAUGUAAAUAUAUUCUUUGCAACUCUAAAUGUUCUCUGUAACCUGUUUAGCCGAGGUGCAAUAAAGAAUAAAUAGCUAUUCUGAUCUUCA
Molecule: long non-coding RNA, 707 nt
Organism: Terrapene triunguis (Three-toed box turtle)
Lineage: Eukaryota; Metazoa; Chordata; Testudines; Emydidae
Exons: 6
Source: RefSeq, a predicted model, not a curated record